Molecule: microRNA precursor, 63 nt
Organism: Monodelphis domestica (gray short-tailed opossum)
Lineage: Eukaryota; Metazoa; Chordata; Mammalia; Didelphimorphia; Didelphidae
Source: Ensembl
UCUGGGUUGGAGCUGUGCAUUCUUGAUGACCACCAAAUUGAAGAUGCAUCUCCCACUCCCAGU